RNAcentral lists this ribosomal RNA (381 nucleotides) under uncultured bacterium. RNAcentral describes it as "bacterial SSU rRNA". It matches the Rfam family "Bacterial small subunit ribosomal RNA", at positions 30 to 412 of the family's 1533-position model. The record is from RNAcentral.
AUUGAACGCUGGCGGCAUGCCUUACACAUGCAAGUCGAACGGCAGCGGGCCUUCGGGUGCCGGCGAGUGGCGAACGGGUGAGUAAUGCAUCGGAACGUGCCAUUGAGUGGGGGAUAACGUAGCGAAAGUUGCGCUAAUACCGCAUAUUCUGUGAGCAGGAAAGCAGGGGACCGCAAGGCCUUGCGCUCUUUGAGCGGCCGAUGUCAGAUUAGCUAGUUGGUGAGGUAAAGGCUUACCAAGGCGACGAUCUGUAGCGGGUCUGAGAGGAUGAUCCGCCACACUGGAACUGAGACACGGUCCAGACUCCUACGGGAGGCAGCAGUGGGGAAUUUUGGACAAUGGGGGGCAACCCUGAUCCAGCCAUGCCGCGUGAGUGAAGAA